AACGAACGCUGGCGGCAUGCCUAACACAUGCAAGUCGAACGAGACCUUCGGGUCUAGUGGCGCACGGGUGCGUAACGCGUGGGAACCUGCCCUUAGGUUCGGAAUAACUCCCCGAAAGGGGUGCUAAUACCGGAUAAUGUCUUCGGACCAAAGAUUUAUCGCCUUUGGAUGGGCCCGCGUUGGAUUAGCUAGUUGGUAGGGUAAAAGCCUACCAAGGCGACGAUCCAUAGCUGGUCUGAGAGGAUGAUCAGCCACACUGGGACUGAGACACGGUCCAGACUCCUACGGGAGGCAGCAGUGGGGAAUAUUAGACAAUGGGCGAAAGCCUGAUCCAGCAAUGCCGCGUGAGUGAUGAAGGCCUUAGGGUUGUAAAGCUCUUUUACCCGGGAUGAUAAUGACAGUACCGGGAGAAUAAGCUCCGGCUAACUCCGUG
This 433-nucleotide ribosomal RNA is filed under the name uncultured bacterium. RNAcentral describes it as "partial 16S ribosomal RNA". It matches the Rfam family "Bacterial small subunit ribosomal RNA", at positions 29 to 507 of the family's 1533-position model. The record is from RNAcentral.